UGGGGAAUAUUGCACAAUGGGGGAAACCCUGAUGCAGCAACGCCGCGUGAGUGAUGACGGCCUUCGGGUUGUAAAGCUCUGUCUCCAGGGACGAUAAUGACGGUGCCUGAGGAGGAAGCCACGGCUAACUACGUGCCAGCAGCCGCGGUAAUACGUAGGUGGCAAGCGUUGUCCGGAUUUACUGGGCGUAAAGGGAGCGUAGGCGGACUUUUAAGUGAGAUGUGAAAUACCCGGGCUCAACCUGGGUGCUGCAUUUCCAACUGGAAGUCUAGAGUGCAGGAGAGGAGAGUGGAAUUCCUAGUGUAGCGGUGAAAUGCGUAGAGAUUAGGAAGAACACCAGUGGCGAAGGCGACUCUCUGGACUGUAACUGACGCUGAGGCUCGAAAGCGUGGGGAGCAAACA
RNAcentral lists this ribosomal RNA (402 nucleotides) under uncultured bacterium. RNAcentral's name for it is "bacterial SSU rRNA". It matches the Rfam family "Bacterial small subunit ribosomal RNA", at positions 355 to 774 of the family's 1533-position model. The record is from RNAcentral.